UUUUAAUUCUUUACAUAAUGCAAAAUAUGCCCACAGAUUUAAAAUUCACUCAAAUAAGGUACAGCCUAUUUGAGACAGGAGACAGCCUACAAUAGAGGGUAAUGCUUAAACUAACGUGACCAAGUGGGCCUAAAAGCAGCCAUCUUUAGAAAAGCGUUAAAGCCUUAUCACAUCAAGCCAUUAAUUCUAACCUAACCCCAAAGCCCCUCACUUAUACUGAAUGACUCUAUAUUUUUAUAGAAGCCCUUAUGUUAGAACUAGUAACAAGAAUACCUAUUCUCCCACAAAUGUAAGUAUAAGCCAAAAUGGACCCUCCAUCGGCACUUAUCGCCAAUGAAUUAACAGUAACAACUCCUUCAAGAAAACCCUACUUCACUCAGCGUUAACCUUACACAAGAGCUUUUCUGGAAAGAUAAAAAAAGAGGA
This 426-nucleotide ribosomal RNA is filed under the name Hylophorbus sp. LAO-2013b. RNAcentral describes it as "partial 16S ribosomal RNA". The record is from RNAcentral. Lineage: Eukaryota; Metazoa; Chordata; Amphibia; Anura; Microhylidae. RNAcentral also lists the same sequence under 1 other name.